RNAcentral lists this ribosomal RNA (446 nucleotides) under uncultured bacterium. RNAcentral's name for it is "bacterial SSU rRNA". It matches the Rfam family "Bacterial small subunit ribosomal RNA", at positions 329 to 792 of the family's 1533-position model. The record is from RNAcentral.
AUCCAGACUCCUACGGGAGGCAGCAGUGGGGAAUAUUGCACAAUGGGGGAAACCCUGAUGCAGCGACGCCGCGUGAGUGAAGAAGUAUUUCGGUAUGUAAAGCUCUAUCAGCAGGGAAGAAGUUGACGGUACCUGAGUAAGAAGCCCCGGCUAACUACGUGCCAGCAGCCGCGGUAAUACGUAGGGGGCAAGCGUUAUCCGGAUUUACUGGGUGUAAAGGGAGCGUAGACGGCAGUGCAAGUCUGAAGUGAAAGCCCCGGGCUUAACCCGGGAAUUGCUUUGGAAACUGUACGGCUGGAGUGCUGGAGAGGUAAGCGGAAUUCCUAGUGUAGCGGUGAAAUGCGUAGAUACUGGGAGGAACACCAGUGGCGAAGGCGGCUUACUGGACAGUAACUGACGUUGAGGCUCGAAAGCGUGGGGAGCAAACAGGAUUAGAUACCCUCGUA